GCGGAAAUAGCUCAGUUGGCAGAGCAUAACCUUGCCAAGGUUAGGGUCGCGAGUUCGAGUCUCGUUUUCCGCU
Molecule: transfer RNA, 73 nt
Filed under: Prevotellaceae bacterium
Lineage: Bacteria; Pseudomonadati; Bacteroidota; Bacteroidia; Bacteroidales; Prevotellaceae
Description: tRNA-Gly
Rfam family: tRNA
About the family: Transfer RNA (tRNA) molecules are approximately 80 nucleotides in length. Their secondary structure includes four short double-helical elements and three loops (D, anti-codon, and T loops).
Source: RNAcentral